CCCUUAGAUGUUCUGGGCUGCACGCGCGCUACACUGAUGCGUUCAACGAGUGUACACCUUACUCGAGAGGGUUGGGUAAUCUUUUGAAAACGCAUCGUGAUGGGGAUAGAUUAUUGUAAUUAUUAAUCUUCAACGAGGAAUUCCUAGUAAGGGCCAAUCAUCAGUUGGUCCUGAUUACGUCCCUGCCCUUUGUACACACCGCCCGUCGCUCCUACCGAUUGAGUGGUCCGGUGAGGCUUUGGGAUCUGAGCGGAAAGAGCGUUUCGCUGUUUCUGCCCGGAAAACUCAGUCGAACCUUAUCAUUUAGAGGAAGGAGAAGUCGUAACA
Molecule: ribosomal RNA, 327 nt
Filed under: uncultured eukaryote
Lineage: Eukaryota
Description: partial 18S ribosomal RNA
Rfam family: Eukaryotic small subunit ribosomal RNA
Source: RNAcentral